GAUUUCUGGCCUUCGGCGCCUGGCCCGCCUCGAAAGAGUGUGUGUUGUCGGUGUGUCAAGGUCAUCCUUCUGGAGAGCGCCUCUGCCCUUUGCUGGGUCGGGGGUGGGAUCCAGAUCGUUUACUUUGAAAAAAUUAGAGUGUUCAAAGCAGGCUUUACGCUGUGAAUACAUUAGCAUGGAAUAAUAAGAUAGGGCUUUGGUACUAUUUUGUUGGUUUCUAGGACCAAAGUAAUGAUUGAUAGGGACAGUUGGGGGUGCUAGUAUUCAAUGGCCAGAGGUGAAAUUCUUGGAUUCAUUGAAGACUAACUUAUGCGAAAGCAUU
This 322-nucleotide ribosomal RNA is filed under the name uncultured Tremula. RNAcentral's name for it is "SSU rRNA". The stretch from base 106 to 322 matches the Rfam family "Eukaryotic small subunit ribosomal RNA", at positions 738 to 955 of the family's 1831-position model. Lineage: Eukaryota; Cercozoa. The record is from RNAcentral.